This 906-nucleotide long non-coding RNA is filed under the name Fukomys damarensis (Damara mole-rat). RNAcentral describes it as "lncRNA (ENSFDAG00000022848.1)". The record is from RNAcentral. Lineage: Eukaryota; Metazoa; Chordata; Mammalia; Rodentia; Bathyergidae.
CAAUCAAUGGUCAAGGUAUUGGCAUGCAAGAACUUGCAAAGUGAAAAUGGAGGCGCUUCCCCAGCCCCUCUUCCCUGGCCCGGAGGACAGCUUGCCAGCCGUGCAUUCAUGUCCGUUUGGCACCCAGACAAAUGUUCCCUGGAGCACAGACUGAAACCACCAACCGAUAUCACGUGAGACGCCAGCCAAACCCUGACCUUGCUCUCUGCAGAUGCCACAUUUGAAUCUUACUGCUCCCACUCUGCUGGUAUCUACUAGCCCCAAACCACUCUUCUCCUCUUGGCUUAUGAACAUGGACAGCUCCGUACAAUUCCAUCUUGGCCCAAGUCACCUUCUUGCCCUUGAGAGAGAAGGGCUGCUGCCCAGGGAAUGCUUCACAAUCGUAUCCAGGAGGCAGGGCCUGGGAUCUGGCCUGGCCUCUACUUUGGAUCAACUCAUUAUUCGGAAGAAACGAUGUGUCAUUCCCAUUAUUUAUGUUUCACUGCGGCCAAAGUGUCUGGACCUCGUUUUAGUAAGCACCAUCAUUUCAAGCCAUUCAGUAUUAAUCUCCCUGCUAGCAUCUUUCCUGUUCCGUGUGCUGUUCGCUAUUUGCUUUUAUGUUUUCUGCAGAGUGUUCAUGAAAGGAUAAUCUUUUACAAAGCAGACAGAAUUUGUGUGUAUAAACUGCCCUGUUUGAAUGCCUCAUUGAUACACCAUCUAAAAACGGAAGUGUUCAGCAAGAUUAGCAAAGCCCCGAGCUACAGAGCUGCGGGAAAACAUGAGAACAGGGUCCCUUCUCUACAGGAGGCAGAGGCGACGGAAGAUGCCUUUGCUUUGCAGCAACAGCAAAAGCAGAGCCAUUGCCCGGCCAGGCCCCAAAUGGCCCGAUUGCCUGCAAAUAUCCAGGUCACAAAGCAGGCUAGUUAG